UCGUAGUUGAACCUUGGGUCUGGCUGGCCGGUCCGCCUCACCGCGAGUACUGGUCCGGCGGGACCUUUCCCUCUGGGGAACGUCAUGGCCUUCACUGGCUGGGGCGGGAACCCGGAAUUUUACUGUUAAAAAAUUUGAGUGGCCAAAGGAGGCCUUCGUUCGAAUUUGUUUGCAUGGAAUAAUAAAAUAGGACCUGCGGUUCUAUUUUGUUGGUUUCUAGGACCGCCCUAAUGGUUAAAAGGGAUGGUCGGGGGCAAUAAGACUUCAGU
Molecule: ribosomal RNA, 269 nt
Filed under: Aspergillus parasiticus
Lineage: Eukaryota; Fungi; Ascomycota; Eurotiomycetes; Eurotiales; Aspergillaceae
Description: partial small subunit ribosomal RNA
Rfam family: Eukaryotic small subunit ribosomal RNA
Source: RNAcentral